This 468-nucleotide ribosomal RNA is filed under the name uncultured bacterium. Its description in RNAcentral is "partial 16S ribosomal RNA". It matches the Rfam family "Bacterial small subunit ribosomal RNA", at positions 28 to 507 of the family's 1533-position model. The record is from RNAcentral.
GACGAGCGCUGGCGGCGUGCUUAACACAUGCAAGUCGAACGGAAAGGCCCUGCUUUUGUGGGGUGCUCGAGUGGCGAACGGGUGAGUAACACGUGAGUAACCUGCCCUUGACUUUGGGAUAACUUCAGGAAACUUGGGCUAAUACCGGAUAGGAGCUCCUGCUGCAUGGUGGGGGUUGGAAAGUUUCGGCGGUUGGGGAUGGACUCGCGGCUUAUCAGCUUGUUGGUGGGGUAGUGGCUUACCAAGGCUUUGACGGGUAGCCGGCCUGAGAGGGUGACCGGCCACAUUGGGACUGGGAUACGGCCCAGACUCCUACGGGAGGCAGCAGUGGGGAAUAUUGCACAAUGGGCGGAAGCCUGAUGCAGCAACGCCGCGUGCGGGAUGACGGCCUUCGGGUUGUAAACCGCUUUCGCCUGUGACGAAGCGUGAGUGACGGUAAUGGGUAAAGAAGCACCGGCUAACUACGUG